CAGUCGCCGCGGUAAGACAGAGGAUGCAAGCGUUAUCCGGAAUGAUUGGGCGUAAAGCGUCUGUAGGUGGCUUUUCAAGUCCGCCGUCAAAUCCCAGGGCUCAACCCUGGACAGGCGGUGGAAACUACCAAACUGGAGUACGGUAGGGGCAGAGGGAAUUUCCGGUGGAGCGGUGAAAUGCGUUGAGAUCGGGAAGAACACCAACGGCGAAAGCACUCUGCUGGGCCGACACUGACACUGAGAGACGAAAGCUAGGGGAGCAAAUGGGAUUAGAUACCCCUGUAGUCCCUGUCUCUUAUAA
RNAcentral lists this ribosomal RNA (301 nucleotides) under uncultured bacterium. RNAcentral's name for it is "partial 16S ribosomal RNA". It matches the Rfam family "Bacterial small subunit ribosomal RNA", at positions 509 to 809 of the family's 1533-position model. The record is from RNAcentral.